This is a long non-coding RNA of Brassica oleracea var. oleracea, 659 nucleotides long. RefSeq lists it as uncharacterized. The transcript is spliced from 6 exons. The record is from RefSeq and is a predicted model, not a curated record. Lineage: Eukaryota; Viridiplantae; Streptophyta; Magnoliopsida; Brassicales; Brassicaceae.
GCUCCGGAGUAGCCAAGAGAUAUUGUGUGUGUUACUCGUAGAUGUUUCUACUUCUUCAGAAGACAGAAAUUUAAGGUUACUGUGUUCGCAUGCUAUCAAUGAUAUACAAGAUGCCUCAGUUGGUCUAGGACUUCAAGUUAUAAGGCUACAUUUUAAGGAGGGCACAGAGUACAAUUUCAUAAGAGGGAGGAUCGAGAAAACAACAGUUUUACUCAAAAUCAUUAAAAUCUAGGAUUCUCAAGCUACGGAACCUAUAUGUUCUUUGGGAAGGGAAAAUAUACAAAUGGAAAUGUUUGAGAAAGAAAUAUGUGGUGGUAUGUAGCUGAAUAUAUUCCUGUAUAGUGUUAUCCAGUUUCAGAGCAGCACUCUUGGAGUAGAAUUAUAUGUAUAAAGUGCACGUUAAAGCUGGAGAGAAGAAGGUGCUUGAGAAUAAGAUUCAGCGGUGGUGAAAAUGUCUGAAGCGUUAAAGCUUCAGCAGGACGAAGCAGCGAAGGGAUGGAGAAAACAGACAGCACCGGAGGAGGAGGAGCAAGACAGUUCACCGGUCCUGUAAUGGAGGAUGAAGUUGUGAAACUUACACAGCACGCGAGGGCUAUUAGAGAUGUGGAAGAUGAGGAACUAAGAAGAUUUUUCUUCGGAAUGUCUCCAUGGCAGGUGAG